CUGCUCUGUGUUACAUUGAUGGCGGUCACACUCGUUUGAUACUUCUGACACUGGACAAGUAUUUCCCAAACUUUAGAUCAGCAUUUCCUCCCUCACACAAGCCCUGGGAGCUGUGUAUCGACAUUAUUUGCAAAUUAACACAGGAGAAAACCAAGGCUUAUCCAUGGUCCGACCCGUGAGUGCCUCCAGUAUGGGGUGGGUGUUUAAGACUCUAGAUCUGCUGAGCUGUUUUUUCCCAAGCGAGAUCCUGAUUGGCUUUCCCGCCUCCCUUCUCUUCAGGUUCCACACUUGUGCAUUCACUCUCACGAGUCAAAAUACCGGGGGAUGGGGGUGGGGGGUGGGGAUUGCAUCUGUACUGAGCAUGCGCAGUCUUACCACCCCACGUCCACCCGGUAUUUUGUAAAUGAUUCUCUAGAAGCACUAUUCACAUUUACCUUGUAGUCCCUGUGUAAGAAUCCGGACACCGAACUGGGGGCGGGAUGGUGUGGCUCAGUGGUUAGGAGUAUGUACUGCUCCUCCGGGGGAACCAAGUUCGCUUUCUAGCACCUGUGUUGGUCAUCUCACAACUACUUAUGACCCCGACUCCAGCUCCAGAGACCUUCUCUGACCUCCGUGGGCGCUACACCCAAACUGCACAAACCCACACUCAGAGACACACACAGAUGCAUAUAAUCAAAAAUAAAAA
This 685-nucleotide long non-coding RNA is filed under the name Rattus norvegicus (Norway rat). RNAcentral describes it as "long non-coding RNA NONRATT024437". The record is from RNAcentral. Lineage: Eukaryota; Metazoa; Chordata; Mammalia; Rodentia; Muridae.